RNAcentral lists this ribosomal RNA (397 nucleotides) under uncultured bacterium. Its description in RNAcentral is "partial 16S ribosomal RNA". It matches the Rfam family "Bacterial small subunit ribosomal RNA", at positions 360 to 773 of the family's 1533-position model. The record is from RNAcentral.
AAUAUUGCGCAAUGGGGGGAACCCUGACGCAGCAACGCCGCGUGAGUGAAGAAGGUUUUCGGAUCGUAAAGCUCUGUCAUUGGGGACGAAAAGAUGACGGUACCCAAGGAGGAAGCCCCGGCUAACUACGUGCCAGCAGCCGCGGUAAUACGUAGGGGGCGAGCGUUGUCCGGAAUUACUGGGCGUAAAGCGCGCGCAGGUGGCUUGUUAAGUCAGGUGUCAAAAUGCGGGGCUCAACCCCGUACCGCACUUGAAACUGGCAGGCUUGAGUGCAGGAGAGGGAAGUGGAAUUCCUAGUGUAGCGGUGAAAUGCGUAGAUAUUAGGAGGAACACCAGUGGCGAAGGCGACUUCCUGGACUGUAACUGACACUGAGGCGCGAAAGCUAGGGGAGCAAAC